CAUUUUGUGCCCUCCCCGCCUCCAAAUUGCCUCAGUUACAAAUCAGAAGGCAGGCUUGGUGACCAGGACUGGCAAGCACAUUUUAAAGUCCCAUGCUGUGGAGUUGAUCCAUCUCAACUUGAGAAGAGGCAGAAGUGGAUGUGAGAGAAAGAGACACACAGAGAGACAGAGAGCCAAAGAGGGCAAGAGACUUGACUUUAAGAGACUCCUGUACUGACAACUCCAUGCACUUCGGAACCAGAACGACUGCGGCUGGACCAGGGUUCAUGGGGACAUGGCAAAACGCUGAUACUAACCUCUUAUUCAGAAUGUCCCAACAAGCCUGUCACCCUGGCUACUAAAGAAUCCUCAGACUUCAGUGGUUGGCUUACCAACUGCAGUCUUCAGUUUGGUAUUUAGUGCCAAGAAGGAAAGUGAUCAUUUCACAUCCAUUGAUUGGUUCUCGAUUCCAGGCUGCACUGUAAAUAAUACUGACAUCACAAUGGUUCUUCAUCCUGACUGCUACAGAAUCCUCGAACUUCAGUAGCUUGA
Long non-coding RNA from Apodemus sylvaticus (European woodmouse), 531 nucleotides. RefSeq lists it as uncharacterized. The transcript has 4 exons. The record is from RefSeq and is a predicted model, not a curated record. Lineage: Eukaryota; Metazoa; Chordata; Mammalia; Rodentia; Muridae.